GGGGGAACCGGCCGAACCAUCAGCCCGACGGGACGGGAGGGAGCACCCUCGGGGCGGGAAGACGAGCCCCCGGCGGCGCGUGACAGGGCGAAGCGAGGAGUGAGCUGACACUAAACUGAGCUAACCAGGCCCAUUCCUGCACAGUUGAUCUUGAGCAAAAACGUCACCGCAGCAGCAGCAGCAGCAGCGGCAGUGGCGGAGGCAGUGGCAGCGGCAGCAGUAGCAGCAGGGACACCGGGGGAUGGAAUUGCGCAGCCCCUCUGCAUGAGCAGAGAUGCAACUGUGAGGAACAGAAAAUAGAGCUGAGGAAAUCAACCAGAUUCCCCUGCCCAGCCAGGCCAGAGCCGUCAGGAAAGAAGGUCUAGUUGAAGGCUCCUCACAGAGGUGCCAGGCCUUCCUGAUGAGAUGUGUCCUGCCCCAGAGGGCUCCGGG
RNAcentral lists this long non-coding RNA (432 nucleotides) under Phascolarctos cinereus (koala). RNAcentral describes it as "lncRNA (ENSPCIG00000034889.1)". Lineage: Eukaryota; Metazoa; Chordata; Mammalia; Diprotodontia; Phascolarctidae. The record is from RNAcentral.